RNAcentral lists this small RNA (27 nucleotides) under Bombyx mori (domestic silkworm). RNAcentral's name for it is "ovarian small RNA-30292". Lineage: Eukaryota; Metazoa; Arthropoda; Insecta; Lepidoptera; Bombycidae. The record is from RNAcentral.
UCUUUUGGUUGAUGCCAUAUCUACGGA